Molecule: long non-coding RNA, 2234 nt
Organism: Beta vulgaris subsp. vulgaris (sugar beet)
Lineage: Eukaryota; Viridiplantae; Streptophyta; Magnoliopsida; Caryophyllales; Amaranthaceae
Exons: 2
Source: RefSeq, a predicted model, not a curated record
UUUUGUAAUUUAGAGGAGGGACAUCAUUGCUCCCCUUCACUUAUAUUAUAGAGAUAAUAGCAUUUCUGUAUGCAAUGGGUCGCGACAACAUGUUUUUUAUUGGGCGAACUUUCGUAAUCUUAAGCGGCUAAUUUUAUAUGCGUGCAAUACGUUUAGCAUUUUAGUUACUCAAUUUUGAUAAGUUUGAAUUAUAUUUUAAUUUAUUUUGUUCAACUUUCUUUUAUCAGAGUUAUUGUCUAAGUUUUCAAUUGGUUAACUAUUACUCCGUUUGUGUUUAUUUUUUUUAGAAAUUCAAGUUUGUUAUAAUAUUUUUGUUAAUUUAUAAUUGUGAGAUAUUUUCAGAAAGUGUGUAAUAUUUCUUUAUCAGAUUUGACUUUUUGAAUUGGGUUUGUAGAAAAAACUAAAGAUAUUUUUGUGUUUGUUAAGUUUUUUUUUAUGUAUGUAUAAAUAUUGAGGAAUAGAUUUUAAGAUUUUAAGAUUUCAAUAUUAAAAGGGUAAUUUAGUAAUAUAAUAAGGGUACCAUAAUGUAAUAGCCCUAUUUUUAAUAGCGUUUAUUAAAUAUUGAUUAUAUUCAUUAAGCUAAUUAUGUUUCGGAAAUUCUUAUAUUAUUUGAGUUGUGGAGUAUUAUUUUUAUUUGUCUUGUUGUAAUAUAUUUAUUUAUUUCAACUUUAUGAAGUUAUUAUUAUUAUUUUAUAUUUUGGGUUUGUGCAAUUAGUUGACUGGUUUUUCACCCAAAUAGAAAAUCAAAGUCGGGCUCUUAUCCCUUCUUGUUGUCGGUUUAAUGGAACCCCAAACCCACCCUAAUGACUUUGCUCUUCUCGUGUCUUCUAUUCUUAAAACCCCAACCCCAAAGAAAACCCCAAACCUGUGAAACCCGAAACCCAUCUCUCUGACCCGUGAUUUCUUCCUCUCUCCUCUCGCCAGAUGUCGCCGGAGUUCCCCCUUGUCGGCGCCGUUGAUAUUCACGUUUUCUCUCUCCUCUUGUGUUUCGUGCUGCUGUUGUUCUUCGUGGUGGUUGUUGGUGGUUUCGCUGCUGCUGCUCUGAGUUGUUGCUCGACGAAAAACCGCCGGAACCUUGUCGAUGGCGUCGUGUUGCUGUGGUUUAGCCUCGCCGGCUCUCCGUCACCACUCGCUGUAGCUCGCUCCCCUGUCGUGCGUGUUAUCCCCUGCUCCAAGUGAGCAGAGGUAAAUUACUUUCUUAUUUCAGUAUUGGAUUUCUUAUUGUUGUUGUAGCAGCGUUGUAGAGGUUGUUGCGGGGUGGUUGUUACUUUUGUUUGUUGUUGUUGUUGCACAGUCGUUAUUGCGUUGUUGUUGACGAGGCGUAGUUGUGGUGGCUGUUGUCGUUGUUGUCGUUGUAGUGGUGGUUGAUUGUUAUUGGGAUUAUUGAUGCUGCUAUGUUGUUGUUUGUGUUGUUGAAGUGUUGUUCUUGUUGUUGUCCUGUUUUAGUGUCGAUGUUGGUGUUAUUGUUAGUGGUGAAGUUGUUGUUGCUGCGUUAUUAUUGUUGUGGUUGCUCUAUUGUUGUGGGUUGUUGUAUUAGUUCGGUGUUGUUAUGGUUGUUGGUGUUGUUAGGCUGGUUGUUGGCGUGGUUGUGCGUUGUUGAUAUUUUAAUGGUGGUUGUUGUGUCAUUGUAGCGGUGGUUUACUAUUAGUGGGUUAUUGAAGUUUUGUAGUGUGUUGUGUUACUGUUAAUAAUACUAACUAUUGUUGUUAUCAAAAGGAGGAAUGUUUUAUAAUUUCUUAUUUAUGUGAUUAAGUUUUCUAGUUAAGCUUGGUUUACUCAGUUCAAUGAUUUAGAGUUAUAGUUACGAAGUGAGAAUUAAGAGAAUAUUAAGGUAGAUAAUUCUUAGAUUGGGAGUUGGUUAUAAUUUCACUUUGUAGUUUAGAUUAGUUUAAGGAUAGUUUUUAAUUAUUGUUAUUAUUAUGAGGUGAAUUGUUGGAGAACGAUUAUGGAGUUUAAGUCUCAUUUGGAGAUGAAGAUUAAUGAAAGAGGUUGUAUCGUUCAGAAUUGGAUAACGUUUCAGGUUUGAUAUUCAAAGCUCGGAAUCGGAAGUGAAGCAAGGUUUUGAGGUCGUCCUAGAUUAUGGAUUGAGCUUGUAUCUAGAUAGCUGAUUUGAGAAUAGUUAUUUAUAUUUCGUUGUAUAUGAUAUUUGGGAAUAUUAGUGGAGUCAUUGGUGUAUUUAAGGAUAUUUUUCCGCUGCGAAGUAAUUUAUUUAAGAGUUAAUUCUUGCUUAUGGA